This 253-nucleotide ribosomal RNA is filed under the name uncultured bacterium. Its description in RNAcentral is "partial 16S ribosomal RNA". It matches the Rfam family "Bacterial small subunit ribosomal RNA", at positions 524 to 776 of the family's 1533-position model. The record is from RNAcentral.
GACGUAGGGCGCGAGCGUUGUCCGGAUUUAUUGGGCGUAAAGAGCUCGUAGGCGGCUUGUCGCGUCGACCGUGAAAACUUGGGGCUCAACCCCAAGCCUGCGGUCGGUACGGGCAGGCUAGAGUUCGGUAGGGGAGACUGGAAUUCCUGGUGUAGCGGUGAAAUGCGCAGAUAUCAGGAGGAACACCGGUGGCGAAGGCGGGUCUCUGGGCCGAUACUGACGCUGAGGAGCGAAAGCGUGGGGAGCGAACAGG